This 221-nucleotide ribosomal RNA is filed under the name uncultured bacterium. Its description in RNAcentral is "partial 16S ribosomal RNA". It matches the Rfam family "Bacterial small subunit ribosomal RNA", at positions 524 to 742 of the family's 1533-position model. The record is from RNAcentral.
UACGGAGGGUGCGGGCGUUGUCCGGAAUCAUUGGGCGUAAAGGGCGCGUAGGCGGAUCGUUAAGUCAGAGGUGAAAGCCCAGGGCUCAACCCUGGAAUUGCCUUUUGAUACUGGCGAUCUUGAGUACGGGAGAGGUGUGUGGAACUCCGAGUGUAGAGGUGAAAUUCGUAGAUAUUCGCAAGAACACCAGUGGCGAAGGCGGCUCACCUGGCCCGAUACUG